RNAcentral lists this ribosomal RNA (1156 nucleotides) under Bacillus sp. B02(2009). RNAcentral's name for it is "bacterial SSU rRNA". It matches the Rfam family "Bacterial small subunit ribosomal RNA", at positions 47 to 1174 of the family's 1533-position model. Lineage: Bacteria; Bacillati; Bacillota; Bacilli; Caryophanales; Bacillaceae. The record is from RNAcentral.
CCUAAUCAUGCAAGUCGAGCGAAUGGAUUAAGAGCUUGCUCUUAUGAAGUUAGCGGCGGACGGGUGAGUAACACGUGGGUAACCUGCCCAUAAGACUGGGAUAACUCCGGGAAACCGGGGCUAAUACCGGAUAACAUUUUGAACCGCAUGGUUCGAAAUUGAAAGGCGGCUUCGGCUGUCACUUAUGGAUGGACCCGCGUCGCAUUAGCUAGUUGGUGAGGUAACGGCUCACCAAGGCAACGAUGCGUAGCCGACCUGAGAGGGUGAUCGGCCACACUGGGACUGAGACACGGCCCAGACUCCUACGGGAGGCAGCAGUAGGGAAUCUUCCGCAAUGGACGAAAGUCUGACGGAGCAACGCCGCGUGAGUGAUGAAGGCUUUCGGGUCGUAAAACUCUGUUGUUAGGGAAGAACAAGUGCUAGUUGAAUAAGCUGGCACCUUGACGGUACCUAACCAGAAAGCCACGGCUAACUACGUGCCAGCAGCCGCGGUAAUACGUAGGUGGCAAGCGUUAUCCGGAAUUAUUGGGCGUAAAGCGCGCGCAGGUGGUUUCUUAAGUCUGAUGUGAAAGCCCACGGCUCAACCGUGGAGGGUCAUUGGAAACUGGGAGACUUGAGUGCAGAAGAGGAAAGUGGAAUUCCAUGUGUAGCGGUGAAAUGCGUAGAGAUAUGGAGGAACACCAGUGGCGAAGGCGACUUUCUGGUCUGUAACUGACACUGAGGCGCGAAAGCGUGGGGAGCAAACAGGAUUAGAUACCCUGGUAGUCCACGCCGUAAACGAUGAGUGCUAAGUGUUAGAGGGUUUCCGCCCUUUUAGUGCUGAAGUUAACGCAUUAAGCACUCCCGCCUGGGGAGUACGGCCGCAAGGCUGAAACUCAAAGGAAUUGACGGGGGCCCGCACAAGCGGUGGAGCAUGUGGUUUAAUUUCGAAGCAACCGCGAAGAACCUUACCAGGUCUUGAACAUCCUCUGAAAAACCCCUAGAGAUAAGGGCUUCUCCUUCGGGAGCAGAGUGACAAGGUGGUGCCAAUGACUGUUCGUCAGUCUCGUGUCGUGGAAUGUUGGCUUAAGUCCCGCACCGAGCGCAACCCUGAUCCUUAGUGCCAUCAUAGUGGCACUUCUAAGUGAACUGUCGGUGCACAAACCCGGUAGGAAGC